This 3268-nucleotide long non-coding RNA is filed under the name Homo sapiens (human). RNAcentral's name for it is "non-protein coding lnc-CXorf40B-4:1". The record is from RNAcentral. Lineage: Eukaryota; Metazoa; Chordata; Mammalia; Primates; Hominidae.
UCCAAAUAGGCACUAAAUCCAAUGACGUGUCAUUAUAAGAGAGUGGCAGGAGAUUCAAGAUACACAGGGAAGUAGGUAAGGGUGAAGAUGGAGCCAGAGGUUGGAGUGAUACGGCCACAAGCCAAAGGAACACCUGGAUCCACCAGAAGCUGGAAGAAGCAAGGAAGGAUUAUCCCCUAGAGCCUUCGCAGGGAGCUUGGAACUGCUGACACCUUGAUUUCUGAUUUCUGGCCUCCAGAACUGCCUUUAGAGUGUGAUCCCAUUUGAUGGCUAUGACAACCUUGUGAAGCAGGUACUUCCCUCACUCCUGUUGUACGAUGGAGCUGGCUCAGACAUUCAGCAGUGAAAGCCUGGUUGCUCAGCUCUGCCUCCCAUGUUCCUUCUCUUUUCUCUCCACAGCCAAUCUGGUCAAUUCCCUUCCUGAGCAUUUCUCUCACGCGGUGCACUCCAUGGAUGUGGUGGUCCCUUUCCUUUGUCUCCCAUUUGCACACACAAGCAUUUCUCCUGUUAAUGCUGUGAUGCACGUCACUGUCAACGGGUACCUUCAAUGCCAUGUUGCUGAUUCUCUCUUUCUUCCUGAAAAAAUUUGAAGAUCACAGUGCUUGAGAAAGUGUAGAUCCAACAUCCAAACAUAGUUGCCAUUGGGAAGGAACUGCCUUUAGCUUCUGUGAACAGAGGAGUCUCUUCUGAGGUAGGGAUGGGAGUUCAGGACUCUGAGAAGAUAACAUGUCAUAAUUUCCACUGGGUUCUCUGUUGAAAUGUUUCUUUAGUACAAGCUGAGGCAAAUCACUUCCCCUCUCUGAAUUUCAGUGUCCUCAUCUCUCGAGUGAAGAGAAUGAUAAUGUGGUCCCAGGAGCCUUUCCUUUACUACAGAGGAGGCACCAGCAGGGGAACUCUCUUGGCACACAGUUGGAGUCCUCAGAAAAUGUUGAUUCUCAUGGACUCUUCUCUGUCUCUUCAAGGAGCCUCUUUCAGGAGGGGGCCUGGCUUCCAUCUGCUUUCUGACAUACUUUGCAUGGAGAUCUGCCCUCUCCUGCCAGGCUGUGCUCACACCAAUACCAAGAGAUCACGAGACGCCCUGCCAGCAAAUGCCCUGGAAGCACAUCCCCUUCAUGCCCCUGGCAGUCAUCUAAUGUACACACAAGAUCAAAGCAGCUCUCAGGUGGCCUGUUGCAGGGCACAGCACAGUUCUGCCUAUGCCAAGGCAGAUGCUGGGCCCUUCCCUAUUGUGUUCAGCACACACCCAUUCUCCAGGGCACCUUUUCUGGGCAUUAAUUUAUCCAGUCAGUUAAUAUGGAUUGCACAGCCUGCUAUAUGCCAGGUACCAUGUGGACCCCAUCACCCGUACCCAAUGCAGGCCCCUCUAGUGGGCAACCCUUGCUCCACACCUCCCUGUUGGGCUGCUCGAGACUGUCAGGUCGGGCUCAACCUGCUCUCCAGCCCUGUUUCCUUCCUAUCCCUUUCCUGAGUGUUAGUUAGCCCCAGUAAAUCUUUGGCCCUGCCAACUCCCUCUCAUGGUCUGCUUCCUGGAGGACACAAUCUGAGACAGUGGGUUCCAGAGUGGUCUGAGAAAGCAGGUGGUAAAAUGGGGUCUUGGUACAGGAUUGCCCCGCAUCUGCCCAACUGGCAACAAGGUUCCCAUCUUCGGGAGUAGGUGGCACGCAGGCGGCUCCAGGCACAAGAUGGCAGGCUAGUUGCCAGACCUUUGGUGUUAGAACUUUUGCUGGGAUGGCCGGCUUGUGGAGAGGAAGUUCCUGGCAGGUGAGGAGAUCCAGGCAGGGCGGAUGCCUGGAAAUGAAAACUCAGAGAACAGACAGUGGUGAGUAUGUUUCCUGGAUGACCCACAGGGGAUUAAUGAGAGACCAAGAGCAAUUAACAAACAUCUAAAAAUUAACCAGAAACACUGGAGUCUUCCUGGUGGUUUACAAAGUAGCCCCCGAUCCAGGCAAUGGGCGAGCAGCAAAGUCUGAAGAACAAACCCAGGACUUGCUAAGGUGGCUGAACUCCAAAGACAGGUGAACGCUCAGCCAAGGCAGGUCUGUCAUGCCAAUGACACCAGCCCUGUUGGGAAAACCUGCGUCCCUGAUACAUGGAACAGGCACAUCUAGAAGGUCUCUGAAUAUCUGGUCUCCCCAGAUGCCCUUGAAACUUCUGAGCCCGCAGCAUCAGCCCACCCCCUCCCAUGAAGCGCUGCAGGCACCCUAUCCCGAAGGAGAAAUAAAUAACACAAGAAUUUUCCCCACAGGUGUCCUCCCUCCCAGGAGUGGCCCUCACCUUAUCACUGGCUGCCAGGUAGGGUGACCAACAGUCCCAGUUUGCUGAGUGAAUUGCAGUGCUAAAAGCCGGCAAGUCCCAGGGAAGCAGGAGGAAUUGGUGAGCUGACUGCCAGACCCGUGACCAGAGUGAAGGUGCAGCGCAGCGCCAUGCAGGCAGGGUGUGCUGGGUAAUUUGGAGUGCUUAGGUGAAUACUGAGUCCAAAACAGCCCUGCAAAGACACAGAAGAACAAGCCCCUGUGCGGACGAGGUCUCUGUAAUCCCAGCACUCAGGAGGCUGAGGAAGGAGAAUCGCUUGAGCCCAGAAGGCAGAGGUAGUGGUGAGCCGAGAUUGCACCAGCCUGGGCAACAAGAGCAAAACUCCGUCUCAUCUCCAGCAUUUCUGCUUCCUCAAGCUUCUCCAGGGAGAAGUAGGCGCAUCUCACUGAGGGAAGAAAGACAGAGGACUCCAGGUUGCUCAGGAGGCUCAUGGAACAGUGCAGGCUCCAGACCACGAGGCCUGAAUUCUGGAAGUAGCAGCGGGGAUGCAGGACGAGGAGCCGUUUUGUCUCAUCAGGCACUCCAGAGGCAGGGACCCAGAACUUGGUUAUGAAGUCAAUGCGGGAGACUGCAAAAGAGGCGUUAAAAAAACGGUCCCUCUGGACCCCACUGGCAGGCACUGACGGAGCGGCCAGGACACAGGAGAGCAGGCCUGGGGGGCUCAGCCCUGCAAGACUCAGCCUAGAGCUGCAUGGACCCCAGUCAAGUGUUCCCGCCCUUCUUGCUGCUUCUGUGCCCUCUGGGGGAAGACACUGGAGGUGCAGUUAGGUCGCCGCGGGAAAGUUUGGACUCUUGCCUGGUGGUCUCGUCCCGCCCCUCCUCUUCCUCCCUCCGGUUCCUUUUCCUCCUUCCGGUUCUUGGUCUAGGCUGCCUGUCUCGAGCUCCCCGGCCUUGUCCUGGUUGGCUGGCGCGGGACAGGAUCCGGUAAACUGAACAGCGUCUCCUUGUGGCAAGU